UACAGAGGGGGCAAGCGUUAUUCGGAAUUAUUGGGCGUAAAGGGCGCGUAGGCGGUUCUUCAAGUCUCUCGUGAAAUCCCUCGGCUUAACUGAGGACGUGCGGGAGAUACUGAAGGGCUUGAGUCCGGAAGAGGGUGGUGGAAUUCCCAGUGUAGCGGUGAAAUGCGUAGAUAUUGGGAGGAACACCGGUGGCGAAGGCGGCCACCUGGGCCGGAACUGACGGCUGAGGCGCGAAAGCGUGGGGAGCAAACGGG
RNAcentral lists this ribosomal RNA (254 nucleotides) under uncultured bacterium. RNAcentral describes it as "partial 16S ribosomal RNA". It matches the Rfam family "Bacterial small subunit ribosomal RNA", at positions 524 to 776 of the family's 1533-position model. The record is from RNAcentral.